CACAAUAAGCUCUUUAGCAGUUCUGUUUCAACUUGAGACCUAUUCAUUAAUUUAUCUUUUCAAACUCCAUGCUUUCUCAUGUUACUAAGAAGUCCUCCUAUAGUUUAAGAGACAAUUGCUCGUUUGUCCCUUUAUGAAUACUAACAACUGAAAUGACCAUAUUUAUUUGGCUUGCUUAUUUGAUCCUGUUUUUAAAAAACCAAACGGUUGUCUGCCCAUCUUCCC
Molecule: long non-coding RNA, 225 nt
Filed under: Oryza brachyantha (malo sina)
Lineage: Eukaryota; Viridiplantae; Streptophyta; Magnoliopsida; Poales; Poaceae
Description: long non-coding RNA (OBRA_LNC003234)
Source: RNAcentral